This 1167-nucleotide long non-coding RNA is filed under the name Homo sapiens (human). RNAcentral's name for it is "HSALNT0293219". Lineage: Eukaryota; Metazoa; Chordata; Mammalia; Primates; Hominidae. The record is from RNAcentral.
GCAGCUGUCCGGUGUAGCCGAGGAAUGCCACCGCUCCUGGCAGCCUGGGAGCUGACUUAUCUAGCAGUUCGCGCUCCCUUUCCGAAAAGUUUUCUCAUUAAGAUAAAGAAGGAACAUCUGAGCAACACAAAAGCUUAUGAUUUGCGACUAGAUUUGAAAUCAAGGCUACAAGAAAGACAAAAGUAUGUUGCUAAUGAGUAUUGCUCUUUCAUCUCCUAGACAAAAUGUAAGCCCGAGCAGCCUUGUCUUCUGCCUCAAGUUCUGACUGCGGGGCGGGGAAGCGGCGGAGGGAGGUAUUCAGGGUACCUUAAUUUUGAUUAAGAUUGGAAGGUGUGUUUGUUUAAACAGACUCUUUGUGGUAUAAACUUUAUUUCAUUAUUUAGUGUAUAAAGACAAAUUUGGUUAAAAGAUUAUUUUUAAAUGAUUUUUGUUUCCAUUUAAAAAGCUAAACUUCUGAAACUAAGAAGAUCUAGGAGUCUAUUUCUUAAAGGCCUUUAACAGAAUCAUAGGAUUUUGCUUUAAUUAGAUGGAAAUAUAUAUGUAAAACACACACACGCACACACACAUAUCUUAUCUCCUUGCCUUAUUUGUAUAGAAGAAAAAGAGCGAAAUGAUCUUGCCCAGACCCCAGCUCGGUCAGCAGCCGGCUAGCGGAGGAGAUAGAUAGCCUUUCCUGUGAUGAAGUGAGCCUGUGUAAGAGUCUGGGACCGAGUUACCACUACAAAUUUAGUUUUUCCUCCAUUGCAUUUUUCUCCCAUAAACACUAGAGUCUUCAGAGCAUUUUCCUAUCGCCAUUGUUUUUCUUUUCGCGCAGCUGCGCACAAGUUAAUAUUAGCCAUCCCCCUGCCGGUCCUCUCUGGGAGAUCUCGUUUAAAUUUACUGAGCGAAGGGAGGAGGACGAUAUAAUUAAUCUGUGCCCUCUUAGAAAAUUGAAAGAUUGGGGUGGACUGACUUUUCAAAAAGCUAACUUGUGCGUGGGAACCAGAAAGACUUGUGUUUUUCAUCAAAUGCAGAAAUCGGUAUUGGGGGUGGUGGAGAAAUUCACAUAAUGCAUUUUCCAUGAAAUAGCAUCGUUGUGGAGACCGCUCUUCCGAUGGGUUCAAAUGAUGCUCCUGCCUCAGCCUCCCAAAUAGCUGGGAUUACAGGCAUGUGCCACCACGCCCGGCU